Molecule: ribosomal RNA, 502 nt
Filed under: uncultured bacterium
Lineage: Bacteria
Description: partial 16S ribosomal RNA
Rfam family: Bacterial small subunit ribosomal RNA
Source: RNAcentral
AUUGAACGCUGGCGGAAUGCUUUACACAUGCAAGUCGAACGGCAGCACGGGUGCUUGCACCUGGUGGCGAGUGGCGAACGGGUGAGUAAUAUAUCGGAACGUAUCCAAUAAUGGGGGAUAACUAGCCGAAAGGUUAGCUUAUACCGCAUACGCCCUGAGGGGGAAAGCUGGGGAUCGUAAGACCUAGCGUUGAUGGAGCGGCCGAUAUCUGAUUAGCUAGUUGGUGGGGUAAGAGCCUACCAAGGCGACGAUCAGUAGCUGGUCUGAGAGGACGACCAGCCACACUGGAGCUGAGACACGGUCCAGACUCCUACGGGAGGCAGCAGUGGGGAAUUUUGGACAAUGGGGGCAACCCUGAUCCAGCCAUUCCGCGUGAGUGAAGAAGGCCUUCGGGUUGUAAAGCUCUUUCGCAAGGGAAGAAAACUCGAUCUCUAAUAUAGGUUGAGGCUGACGGUACCUUGAUAAGAAGCACCGGCUAACUACGUGCCAGCCGCCGCAGUAA